AUGGCGCUGCGUAACCUGGUCACCAAGGUGCGGGCCCCGCUCUCCGCCGCUCUCCGGCCGCCGUCGGUAUCCCGCGGGUCGCCGGCGGUCCGCUCGUGGCCCUUCUCCGCAGCCCCCCGUCAGGGUGAACACCAUGGGAAAAGAAUUUUUGAUUUUGAGUCAGCCACUGAAGAGGAGGUCAUUCGGGAGGCAAGAUUGCUAGAUAAACAGAUUGACAAAAAUCUGUCACAUAUCAGGGAGUACGACGAGAAUGUCAUGCCAAGAGUUUUGCAGGGUAUAUAUGGAAAGGUGAAGUGGUUCUUUGGUGCUGGCGCCGUUGUCGAGCUCGUACGUCUGGGGAUUUCGGCACGUCAGGAUAGUGUUGGACAUUCGGAGUGA
RNAcentral lists this ribosomal RNA (378 nucleotides) under Triticum aestivum (bread wheat). RNAcentral describes it as "partial small subunit ribosomal RNA". Lineage: Eukaryota; Viridiplantae; Streptophyta; Magnoliopsida; Poales; Poaceae. The record is from RNAcentral.